This 2660-nucleotide unclassified non-coding RNA is filed under the name Drosophila ananassae. RNAcentral describes it as "GF18634". Lineage: Eukaryota; Metazoa; Arthropoda; Insecta; Diptera; Drosophilidae. The record is from RNAcentral.
GCGCCAGCAUGCGAGCAAAGGCACCCCACGAUCGCGACUUUGGUCACAAUGCGCGAGGAGGUCGCGGCGAUCGCGGCAACGAUGAUCGGCGAGGAGGCGGCGGCGGUGGAGGUGGCGGCGGCAACCGCUUUGGAGGCGGUGGUGGCGGCGGCGGAGGCGACUAUCAUGGAGUUCGCAACGGGCGCAUCGAGAAGCGUCGGGAUGACCGCGGAGGUGGCGGCCGUUUCGGCGGCGGCGGUGGAUUCGGAGGCGACCGCCGAGGUGGCGGCAGCCAGGAUCUGCCAAUGCGCCCCGUCGACUUCUCCAACCUGGCCCCGUUCAAGAAGAACUUCUACCAGGAGCACCCCAACGUGGCAUCACGCUCGCCCUACGAAGUGCAGAGGUACCGCGACGAGCACGAGAUCACCGUACGCGGACAGGCGCAGAACCCCAUCCAAGACUUCACGGAGGUCCAUCUGCCCGACUACGUGAUGAAGGAGAUCCGCCGUCAGGGAUACAAGGCUCCGACCGCCAUCCAGGCACAGGGCUGGCCCAUCGCCAUGAGCGGCUCCAACUUCGUGGGCAUCGCCAAGACCGGCUCGGGCAAGACUCUGGGCUACAUUCUGCCGGCCAUCGUCCACAUCAACAACCAGCAGCCUCUGCAGCGCGGCGACGGACCCAUCGCCCUGGUGCUGGCCCCCACUCGGGAGCUGGCCCAGCAGAUCCAGCAGGUGGCCACCGAGUUCGGCUCGUCGUCGUAUGUGCGCAACACCUGCGUCUUCGGAGGGGCUCCCAAGGGCAGCCAGAUGAGGGAUCUGCAGCGCGGCUGCGAGAUCGUCAUCGCCACUCCUGGACGACUAAUUGAUUUCCUAUCGGCUGGGUCCACCAACCUGAAGCGCUGCACCUAUCUGGUCCUGGACGAGGCCGAUCGCAUGUUGGACAUGGGCUUCGAGCCCCAGAUCAGGAAGAUCGUCUCACAGAUCCGGCCGGACAGGCAGACCCUCAUGUGGAGCGCCACCUGGCCCAAGGAAGUGAAGCAGCUGGCCGAGGACUUCUUGGGCAACUACAUCCAGAUCAACAUCGGAUCGUUGGAGCUCUCCGCCAACCACAACAUCCGCCAGGUGGUGGAGGUUUGCGACGAAUUCAGCAAGGAGGAGAAAUUGAAGAGCCUCUUGUCGGACAUCUAUGACACCAGCGAAAAUCCCGGCAAGAUCAUCAUCUUCGUGGAGACCAAGCGCCGCGUAGACAACCUCGUGCGCUUCAUCCGGAGCUUCGGCGUGCGCUGCGGAGCUAUCCAUGGCGACAAGUCGCAGUCCGAGCGCGACUUUGUGCUCCGCGAGUUCCGUUCCGGCAAGUCCAACAUCCUGGUGGCCACCGACGUGGCAGCCCGAGGCCUGGAGGCCGGUUGUGGUAGUAUGAUGGGGAGGAUAGUGAACGAGCAGCGACCAUUGCAGACACUCGUUACUUGAGCGACUUUUGCCAACAUCAGAAAUGAUCAGAGUAUGAUGACGUACGCAGCAACACCAACAUGUGUGUGUGUGUGUGUGUUGUGUAUUUGAGAUUUGGGCAAAAGGACCGAUGAAAGUUACAGUUCAGACGGUCGAGCGAGCGAGCGUCGUCGAACGACGAAUAUCCCCAACAUCAUGCGUCCUAUAUGUGGCCUCUGCAGUCCCCGAUUUUGUUGAGAAAGAAGUUUGGGAAAUGUGUUAUAUGCGACCUGUGACCUGCGACCUACAACCAACCAACCAACCAACCAACCAAUCAACCAACAACAACAACAACAACUGAACCGUGCCAUCAGAGAGCCAGCUUUGCUCAGCAGUGGAGGAAAGGAAAAGGCGAGGCGCGGCGUGCUCCAACAGCCAGGCAAUUAAGUGGAAAUGGUGGCCCAACAAGAAAGCACAAGCAAUUGGAUAUGCACCACCCAACAACCAAGCCCAAUAGAGCAGCAAAAGCAAUCAAUGCGUGCGCACAAGUUGCACAUUUUCACACCCAUUACACUACACUAUAAUACACUCCAAAGAUGUACUAUGUUAUGCUUGCCCUGCCCGGCCGGAGGAGGAUCUGGAGGCUGGAUGUAUGUGGCGAGGAUGCUGAUGCUGCUGCUGCUACUGCUACUGCUGCUAAGUGCGUCCACCGCUUCUUUUUGAAACUGAGCCACCACCCAAAACACCAAAACCAGUGCCUGCGUUUGCGCCGCCGCGUUCGAAUAUCCGAAUAUGUAUAGCCCACUGCUCCUGGACGAAGAGGCGGCCCGCUUGUUGUUGUUAAAAAAAAAAACCCUUCAAAACCAAAUAUUAUUUGAAAUGUUAUGGUAUGCUGGUCGCUAACGGGUCUCUCCUCUAAGUGGUCUCAUCUACAAAAUGGUCCGAAAGUGAGAAGAGUGCUUAGUCAGUGGCGCACGCGGCUCAAUGCAACAAACUCUCCGCUUCGCCCGAGCUCGAGCGAUCGAUAUCGACAUCAGAUCGCAAUUGCAAUAGAUAUUUCCUAUAAUUCUGGGGAGAGUUUGGACCACGAGCUGCGCGCCGCCAAUCACAGAUUUUGAUUGAGAGAAAAAUUGAGUCAAACAAUUUUAUAGCACCAAGAAGAUGUGGACGGCAUUAAGUAUGUCAUCAACUUCGACUACCCGCAAAACAGCGAGGACUACAUUCAUCGCAUAGGACGCACAGGACGAUCCAACA